Molecule: ribosomal RNA, 485 nt
Filed under: Aeromonas sp. CSeC30_1
Lineage: Bacteria; Pseudomonadati; Pseudomonadota; Gammaproteobacteria; Aeromonadales; Aeromonadaceae
Description: bacterial SSU rRNA
Rfam family: Bacterial small subunit ribosomal RNA
Source: RNAcentral
CAGUCGAGCGGCAGCGGGGAAGUAGCUUGCUACUUUUGCCGGCGAGCGGCGGACGGGUGAGUAAUGCCUGGGGAUCUGCCCAGUCGAGGGGGAUAACUACUGGAAACGGUAGCUAAUACCGCAUACGCCCUACGGGGGAAAGCAGGGGACCUUCGGGCCUUGCGCGAUUGGAUGAACCCAGGUGGGAUUAGCUAGUUGGUGAGGUAAUGGCUCACCAAGGCGACGAUCCCUAGCUGGUCUGAGAGGAUGAUCAGCCACACUGGAACUGAGACACGGUCCAGACUCCUACGGGAGGCAGCAGUGGGGAAUAUUGCACAAUGGGGGAAACCCUGAUGCAGCCAUGCCGCGUGUGUGAAGAAGGCCUUCGGGUUGUAAAGCACUUUCAGCGAGGAGGAAAGGUUGGUAGCUAAUAACUGCCAGCUGUGACGUUACUCGCAGAAGAAGCACCGGCUAACUCCGUGCCAGCAGCCGCGGUAAUACGGAGG